RNAcentral lists this ribosomal RNA (463 nucleotides) under uncultured bacterium. RNAcentral describes it as "bacterial SSU rRNA". It matches the Rfam family "Bacterial small subunit ribosomal RNA", at positions 355 to 825 of the family's 1533-position model. The record is from RNAcentral.
UAAGGAAUAUUGCGCAAUGGGCGACAGCCUGACGCAGCGACGCCGCGUGGGGGAUGAAGGUCUUCGGAUUGUAAACCCCUUUCGGCAGGGAAGAUGGAACGGGUAACCGUUCGGACGGUACCUGCAGAAGCAGCCACGGCUAACUUCGUGCCAGCAGCCGCGGUAAUACGAAGGUGGCAAGCGUUGUUCGGAUUUACUGGGCGUACAGGGAGCGUAGGCGGUUGGGUAAGCCCUCCGUGAAAUCUCCGGGCCUAACCCGGAAAGUGCGGAGGGGACUGCUCGGCUAGAGGAUGGGAGAGGAGCGCGGAAUUCCCGGUGUAGCGGUGAAAUGCGUAGAGAUCGGGAGGAAGGCCGGUGGCGAAGGCGGCGCUCUGGAACAGUUUCUGACGCUGAGGCUCGAAAGCGUGGGGAGCAAACAGGAUUAGAUACCCAUGUAGUCCCUGAGCGGGCUGGCAAGGCGCAU